RNAcentral lists this long non-coding RNA (1652 nucleotides) under Anas platyrhynchos platyrhynchos (common mallard). Its description in RNAcentral is "lncRNA (ENSAPLG00000026038.1)". Lineage: Eukaryota; Metazoa; Chordata; Aves; Anseriformes; Anatidae. The record is from RNAcentral.
AUGAGCACAGGGAGGCGAGGAGUCCGGGUACCUUUUUGGAUGAGAUGUGUGUCUACCUUCUCCGCUCACACCUCUGUGGCUGCAGUCACCUCCCUGAACCAUCUUACGGUGGGCACAGGCUCCAGCUGUCAAUUUUUUGCACAGUGUGCUCAUACCUGCCUGGCAGCAUCGCCUCUGGAGCAGGUCUCAGGACCCUCAGAAACAGAGCAGAGAGCUGAAGCUAGGGAGAGGCUAGCACAGAGUGCCACCAGGCCUCCUGGCCAUGGGCAAGCAGGGUUCGCUGUCCCUUGGUCACCAUCAGCCGGCAGCGGGAGCCCAGCCCAUCCUUGCUGGGGGCUGGAUGUCCUCACAGGCAGCCGGGAGCCCCCUGCCCUGAACCUGUGUGGCUGGAGGUGGUGGGGCAGCAGCACGGCACAGCUGUGGAGAGCAACCUCUCGUUCAUCUCAACAGCAUCACCUGGCAGGGCAUCCCCUUCACAGAGAGCAGCGGGUGGAGGUGGCAGGACACCAGCAGCCCCUCGACCGGUUUGGUAGAGGCUCCUCAGCCUUCUCCUGUUGCUGCCCCGGUGCCUGCGAGCUCCAGACAGAAAGGCAGACAGGGAAUUUGCUCCAGGCGCUUGCAGAUGCAAGCUCUGCUGCACUGGGCUUGCUGGGGAUGACACUCACCGUGCCCUGCUAAUACCUUUUUCUCUUUUAGAGAUGGGAUUGGAGUCAGUUGCAGAAACCUGGGAGAUUCCCUCCCUUGGGCUAGACUGUGCAAACUCGCCCCGAAGAAACCAUUGUUUCUUGAAAGCCUCUGUAAGCUCCCUGUCCCCAGCUCCCCAGCCCAGCUCAGCAUUUUGGGCGAGUUAUGAAACAGGGCAGAUGCUGGAGCACAGCAUUUGUAUUAUCCACCAGCAAAUGACUGGAUGUGAUAAACACUUGGCUCUCCCGUGCAGGGACAGGGUGAGGGCUGUUCCUUGCCGCGGGGGAAAUGACAUUACAGGUUUGCAAGAGCUGGGCACUUUGUUGUGCAGAAGCCAUCUGACGCUGACAGCCUGUCAUUGAUUUGCGAAAACAUCGUUUGGCAUCGAUAACAAGCGUUCAGGAGAAACAAGUAGGACACAGAAAAGCAACACCCAGGUAUUGCUUCGCUGUUCCCUAUCCAGACUGGAAGCGCACAGACGUGUCUCCACUAUGAAAACAAGCACAGGAGAAGCAGAAAAUCCUCCUCCGUGUUCCUGGACAUUGGCAGAGGUCUUGGGCAGCGCUCACCCAGGCUGGCCUCCCCUGGGCAUGCCCUAAAUGUCUGAGUUGUUUGGGUGAUGGAGCAGAGCGAAGCUGCUGCAUCGCUUGGGUGAGACAUUGGGAACCUUGGGGAGGGGAAGCUGAGGGUAAUUAGGCUCUAGUUGCUCUAGGUCUGAGUCUCAUUAACAAAGUUUGGGUUUCUGCUGCUGGGGUUCACUGGAGAAGCACCCUGGAGCAGCAGCAGGUGUACAAAGCUCACCCUACCCAGGAACACGCCCCGUGCUUUCUGAUAUUGCUCUUGUUCCCAUGAAAACCAACGUGCGGCAUUGCUGCGGCCACCUGCGUGUUCACAAACACCAGGGAAACACAAAACCUGAUGAAUGGGAAUGAAAUAAAGUGCGUUCGGUGUCCUCCUGCUGCUUUCGA